Molecule: non-coding RNA, 56 nt
Organism: Anopheles merus
Lineage: Eukaryota; Metazoa; Arthropoda; Insecta; Diptera; Culicidae
Source: Rfam
GUGUCAUUUGAAAGAAGAGUAGAUUACCACUCCCCCUUGACAAGGAUGGAACACUU